RNAcentral lists this ribosomal RNA (253 nucleotides) under uncultured bacterium. RNAcentral's name for it is "partial 16S ribosomal RNA". It matches the Rfam family "Bacterial small subunit ribosomal RNA", at positions 524 to 776 of the family's 1533-position model. The record is from RNAcentral.
UACGAAGGGGGCUAGCGUUGCUCGGAAUCACUGGGCGUAAAGGGUGCGUAGGCGGGUCUUUAAGUUAGAGGGGAAAGCCCGGGGCUCAACUCCGGAAUUGCCUUUAAGACUGCAUCGCUAGAAUUGUGGAGAGGUAAGUGGAAUUCCGAGUGUAGAGGUGAAAUUCGUAGAUAUUCGGAAGAACACCAGUGGCGAAGGCGGCUCACUGGACCGGUACUGACGCUGAGGCGCGAAAGCGUGGGGAGCGAUCCGG